Molecule: transfer RNA, 69 nt
Filed under: Ictidomys tridecemlineatus (thirteen-lined ground squirrel)
Lineage: Eukaryota; Metazoa; Chordata; Mammalia; Rodentia; Sciuridae
Description: Spermophilus tridecemlineatus (thirteen-lined ground squirrel) tRNA
Rfam family: tRNA
About the family: Transfer RNA (tRNA) molecules are approximately 80 nucleotides in length. Their secondary structure includes four short double-helical elements and three loops (D, anti-codon, and T loops). Further hydrogen bonds mediate the characteristic L-shaped molecular structure. tRNAs have two regions of fundamental functional importance: the anti-codon, which is responsible for specific mRNA codon recognition, and the 3' end, to which the tRNAs corresponding amino acid is attached (by aminoacyl-tRNA synthetases). tRNAs cope with the degeneracy of the genetic code in two manners: having more than one tRNA (with a specific anti-codon) for a particular amino acid; and 'wobble' base-pairing, i.e. permitting non-standard base-pairing at the 3rd anti-codon position.
Source: Rfam by way of RNAcentral
GGGGCUGUAGCUCAGUGGUAGAGCGCUCACCUAGCACAUGUGAGGCCCUGGGUUCAAUCCUCAGCACCA